UACGUAGGGGGCGAGCGUUGUCCGGAUUUAUUGGGCGUAAAGAGCUCGUAGGCGGUUUGGUAAGUCGGGUGUGAAAUCUCCACGCUCAACGUGGAGGGGCCACUCGAUACUGCCAUGACUCGAGUCCGGUAGAGGAGUGUGGAAUUCCCGGUGUAGCGGUGAAAUGCGCAGAUAUCAGGAGGAACACCGGUGGCGAAGGCGGGUCUCUGGGCCGAUACUGACGCUGAGGAGCGAAAGCGUGGGGAGCGAACAGG
RNAcentral lists this ribosomal RNA (254 nucleotides) under uncultured bacterium. RNAcentral's name for it is "partial 16S ribosomal RNA". It matches the Rfam family "Bacterial small subunit ribosomal RNA", at positions 524 to 776 of the family's 1533-position model. The record is from RNAcentral.